GACCGAUGCGCGAUUCCCGCCCUCUCGUUCGUCNUNGGCUCCUCNGGGUCACGGGCGUUCGGGGCUAAAGGACGGCGCGCUCCGCUUUGGUGACUCUGGAUAACUCACUGGUCGAUCGCACGGGCUCCACGCCCGGCGACGG
Molecule: ribosomal RNA, 142 nt
Filed under: Taningia danae
Lineage: Eukaryota; Metazoa; Mollusca; Cephalopoda; Oegopsida; Octopoteuthidae
Description: partial small subunit ribosomal RNA
Source: RNAcentral